Molecule: unclassified non-coding RNA, 195 nt
Filed under: uncultured fungus
Lineage: Eukaryota; Fungi
Description: sequence contains ITS1
Source: RNAcentral
GUAUAUAUUACAUAGGUACAACAUUCUGUUAACAUACAUUGGGGUAAAUGAAGCAACAUAGACCUAAAAGGUCUACAAAAAGUGCACAGGUGGAGGUAUAAAGAUGACAAGGCGUGCACAUGCUCCCUAGAGAACCAGCAACAACCCAUCAGGUUUAUUUCAAUAAUGAUCCUUCCGCAGGUUCACCUACGGAAA